UAUUUGAUGUUAACCAUUAAUCCUAAAAGUUUGAGCUAUUAGAAAUAUAUAAUCAAUUAACUUAAACCGUACAGACACAACGUUCACAGGUAUAGACUGUGACUCAAUCCUCGUAGCUACUUCAAACAUAACUCAGCCUUACCUAGCCUCCCGCUACAGAGCAAGAUGCUAGUCCAUAUAAGCCAACAGUUAAGUGGAAGCUAAAAAUAUAAAUAAUGUAACAUGCCCCGAAUUCGCCCCAAUCUGCCAAGUGAAUGGAGCGGGAGGCAGCAGACACUUUUUUUUUCUUUAAUCUGCCGAAAAUAUGCUUCCAUCCUGAUUCGCUUCGAAUGAAGCGGUAAACGGGGGCCCAAAAUAGAAUUGAAUUAACCCAUCCCAAAUCCACCCUGACCCAAUAAAAAAUGAAGCGGA
Molecule: long non-coding RNA, 411 nt
Filed under: Ananas comosus (pineapple)
Lineage: Eukaryota; Viridiplantae; Streptophyta; Magnoliopsida; Poales; Bromeliaceae
Description: long non-coding RNA (ACOM_LNC040907)
Source: RNAcentral